UAAACUGGAGAUAAUAAUAAUACCUCUGUCACAGGAUGGUUGUGGAUAUUGAGUAAGACAAUACAUGUGCCUCUGAAACUUUAAUGUGCAUACAAAUCUCUUUAAAGUGCAGAUUCUGGGGUGCCCCCUGCGGUUCUGCUUGUCUAACAAGCUCCCAGUGGUGCUGGAGAUGCUGGCCCACAGACCACAUCUUUUAUAUUGAGGUUGUAAAGCACUGAGAACAAUGCCUGGCAUACGGUAGGCACUAAAUAAAUUUGGCUAUUAUGUUUGCACACCGUUGAGGUGGCAGGGAAAAGAUGAAAACCAACAAUUUUCUCUCCUUUUCUAUCAGAUGUUUCCUGACAAUACUUCCAUCUUGAAUAGAAUCCAAUAGGAUUCCGAGCUCAAGUGACAAAUGUAGAUAUGGAUGAAACGGCUUCAUUUUCUCAAUCUGACAAGAGCAGCCCUCGGGUGUCUCUUUGGAUUUAUAGUUUUAGGCUGUGUCAAAGGACUCUGCACAGUAGGCAUUCAUUUACUGGAUGAAAAAAAAAAAAAUGUCCAGACUGUCUCAAUAAACAUCCUUCUAGGAAUUAACAGUGCUGCUGCAGUUUGGUUUUAUUUUAAUACCGUGGCAUGGUUGCCUAAUCAUUAUUUCAAGAAUGUGGCAAUUGUGUUCUAAAAUCUAAAGUAUGUUGUUUUAGUCUUAGAGCGUUAGAUUCUAAUGCCCUGCAGACUAGCUCCACUACUUCAGGCUUCCUGUGCCCUUCAGCCCAGACUUUACGUGCUAACAGUGCCCUCUACUGCUCAGGAGCAGAUCUUUGCUCCUAAAUCCGACCAAGAAAACGGGACUCGCUUACCACACGGAAGCGGUUGGCGUCCGCCUUUAAAGGAGAGAGGGUGGCAGUGCAGCAGCUGUCCACGCCGCGGAGAGCUGGUCGGUUAGCUGUACUGUCUUCCACCCGCCAAACCAUGAUGCUCUUUUGGAGAAAUAUACGGGGACACAAACCAGCCGUCAGGUGAAAGGCACUGCCUGCCGAGCAGAACAGCUCUUCCUUCACUGUGAUUGGAGCCUUUCAUUUGUAGCACCGUCUCAGCUUUCUUCCCAUGCCUUUGAGUACACACAGCUGUGCAACUGUCACCAUAAUCUUUUUCCAAAUUAAAUUAAAUUUAAUUAUUUUACUUCA
This is a long non-coding RNA of Herpailurus yagouaroundi (jaguarundi), 1163 nucleotides long. RefSeq lists it as uncharacterized. The record is from RefSeq and is a predicted model, not a curated record. Lineage: Eukaryota; Metazoa; Chordata; Mammalia; Carnivora; Felidae. The transcript has 2 exons.